This 492-nucleotide ribosomal RNA is filed under the name uncultured bacterium. RNAcentral's name for it is "bacterial SSU rRNA". It matches the Rfam family "Bacterial small subunit ribosomal RNA", at positions 16 to 507 of the family's 1533-position model. The record is from RNAcentral.
AUCAUGGCUCAGAUUGAACGCUGGCGGUAGGCCUAACACAUGCAAGUCGAACGCGAAAGUCCUUCGGGAUGAGUAGAGUGGCGACGGGUGAGUAACGCGUAGGAAUCUAUCCUGUAGUGAGGGAUAACGUUUCGAAAGGAACGCUAAUACCGCAUACGCCCUACGGGGGAAAGCGGGGGAUCUUCGGACCUCGUGCUAGAGGAGGAGCCUGCGUCGGAUUAGCUAGUUGGUGAGGUAAAGGCUCACCAAGGCGACGAUCCGUAGCUGGUCUGAGAGGAUGAUCAGCCACACCGGAACUGAGACACGGUCCGGACUCCUACGGGAGGCAGCAGUGGGGAAUAUUGCGCAAUGGGCGAAAGCCUGACGCAGCCAUACCGCGUGUGUGAAGAAGGCCUUCGGGUUGUAAAGCACUUUCAGUGGGGAGGAAAAGCUGGUGGCUAAUAUCCAUCGGCCAUGACGCUACCCACAGAAGAAGCACCGGCUAAUUCCGUG